This 429-nucleotide ribosomal RNA is filed under the name Chloroflexota bacterium. Its description in RNAcentral is "Chloroflexi bacterium partial 16S ribosomal RNA". It matches the Rfam family "Bacterial small subunit ribosomal RNA", at positions 355 to 776 of the family's 1533-position model. Lineage: Bacteria; Bacillati; Chloroflexota. The record is from RNAcentral.
UGGUGAAUAUUGCACAAUGGGCGCAAGCCUGAUGCAGCCAUGCCGCGUGUAUGAAGAAGGCCUUCGGGUUGUAAAGUACUUUCAGCGGGGAGGAAUGGAGUAAAGUUAAUACCUUUGCUCAUUGACGUUACCCGCAGAAGAAGCACCGGCUAACUCCGUGCCAGCAGCCGCGGUCAUACGGAGGGUGCAAGCGUUAAUCGGAAUUACUGGGCGUAAAGCGCACGCAGGCGGUUUGUUAAGUCAGAUGUGAAAUCCCCGGGCUCAACCUGGGAACUGCAUCUGAUACUGGCAAGCUUGAGUCUCGUAGAGGGGGGUAGGAUUCAAGGUGUAGCGGUGAAAUGCGUAGAGAUCUGGAGGAAUACCGGUGGCGAAGGCGGCCCCCUGGACGAAGACUGACGCUCAGGUGCGAAAGCGUGGGGAGCAAACAGG